Molecule: long non-coding RNA, 2982 nt
Filed under: Sus scrofa (pig)
Lineage: Eukaryota; Metazoa; Chordata; Mammalia; Artiodactyla; Suidae
Description: lncRNA (ENSSSCG00050042294.1)
Source: RNAcentral
UACAGAAGUUCCCAGACUAGGGGUUGAAUCAGAGCUUCAGCUGCCAACUCACACCACAUGGCAACACCAGAUCCCCAACCCACUGAGCAAGGCCAGGGAUUUGUUUCCACUGAGCCAUGACAGGAACUCCCAACCAUGACUUUCUUAGCAAAUAUUUAUAACCUUUCACAAACAUACAUCACUGGACUUUAAUCAUUUAUAAUUUCUAUAGAAUUUCAUUUGUGUUAAAUUCACCAACCAUUACUUCUGUUUCUUUUAAAUUGAAAUUGUAUUUGUUUUUUGUCCAGGUAAUACCAUCACGCAGUCCACAAGUAUGAAAAGUAUGCACAUCAAAAAAUCUACUUAGACUCAGAAACCAUUUGUUUAUCACUUUCUUGCAUAUCUUGCCAGAGAUUGUUUACAAGUCUAUCAGGAAAAUAUGUGUGUAUUUUUCCUCCCAUUUUUAGACAAAAACACCUGCAUACCACACAUGCUGUUCUGCACUUUGCUAUUUUCUUUGGGCCUAUACAUGUUUCAGAUUUUUUUAUAGGAGUAAUUAAGAAGCUUUCUUAUUUUUCAAAGAAAAGAAAAAGUGCAAUUACCAAUGAUUAUGCUCAAACAAGAGGUGAAACUAGAACUGUUAAGUGGCAAACCUGAAUGUAUGACAUAUUAGGAUGGAGGAAUGAGGUAAUAUAUGCUUGCUAGGAGAGAUUAAAGAAACUGGUACAAGUCAAGACACCUGCUAUUUUUUUUUAUGAUUUCUUUUGGCCAUGCCCACAGCACAUGGAAGUUCCUGGACCAGGUAUCAAACCCACGCCACAGCAGCAACCUGAGCCACUGUAGUGACAAAGCUGGUUUCUUAACCCACUGUACCACCAGGGAACUCCAUAACUGUUAUUUAUUAUUAGUAUUAAACAUUCUAAACAUCUAUAGGAAAGAUAUGUGCUUUCAUAUCAUCUACUUUGGGGGCCAAAUUUAUAUUCUCUUGUGAAAAAUAAGGAGAAACAAAUCCCUAAGUAAGAGAAGGAAGCCCCACUUCCAACCAGAAGGUAUCCUAAAAAUAACUCUAGGCAGAUAAAUUCUCCUUCGAGAAAAUGGUAAAAUGGUCUUUCACCAUUUUACUCCCCUGCUCCAGCAUAAUCAGCACACUAAGAGGAAUAUCUUAGUCAUGAUCCAUGAAGCAGAUGUUCUUGUGCAUUUUGUUCACUGCCCAUCCCCAGAGCCUAUGAUACAUUGCUUAAGAUAUAUUUGUUGAAUGAUUGAAUCAAUCAGUCAAUACAGGAUAGAGGUAGAACAAACAACAUAUCAAAAGGAAAAAUCAGAGCAGUACCAGAGUGCUAAGAGACUACAAAGGUAGGAUUGUGUAAUGCGUGAAAAUGCCCCAGCUACCAACUUGCCACUUCACUUGAGAUAGGUUGUUUAAUCUCACUGAAAUUAGGAUGUCUCAUCUCUACAACUGCAUCAAUUAUGUGCCACAAUAAAAAAACAGAAGAAGAAGAAAAAUCAUGUGGGAGUUCCCAUUGUGGCCAGUGGUAAUGAACCCAACUAGUAUCUAUGAGGAUAUGGGUUCAAACCCUGGCCUAGCUCAGUGGGUAAAGGAUCCAACAUUGCCAUGAGCUGUGGUAUGGGUCGAAGAAAAGGUUUGAAUCCUGUGUUGCUCUAGCUGUGGUGUAGGCUAGCAACAGUAUCUCUAAUUCGACCACUAGCCUGGGAACUUCCAUAUGCAGCAAGUACAGCCCUAAAAAGCAACAACAAGAAAAAAGCACAUAGCAAGAGAAGCCCAGACUGGGGAUUAAGAUGGCGGAAGAGAAGGACUGGAGCUCAACUUCUCUCCAAAAAACAACAAAAUUCACAACUAAAGACUGAGCACUCUUCAUGCAAAUGGACCGAAAACCAUAAAAAAAGAUAUCCUACUACAGAAAAAAAAGAGGAGGACACAUCAAGAGGUAAGAGGGGCGAUUUCACGAUAUAAACAAACCCAUACCUCCUAGGUGGGAAGCUCUGCAGACUGGAAACUAACUGGUUCACAGAGACUCACCUACAGGAGUGAGAGUUCUGAGCCACACAUCAAACUCUCACGUGUGGGGAUUUGGCACUGGGAGAAAGAGCCCCUGGAACAUCUGGCAUUGAAGGCCAGUGGGGCUUGUGCACAGGAGCUCCACGGGACUGGGGAAAAUGGAGACCCCAUUCUUAAAAGGCGCACACAGACUUUCACGUGCACUGGGUCCCAGGGCAAAGCAAAGUCUCCAAGGAAAUCUGGGUCAACCUGCAGUUCUUGGAGGACAUCCUGGGAAAACAGGGGUGAACAUGGCUUGUUGUGAGGGAAGGACAUUUAAAGCAAAGCUCUCGGGAAUAUUCAGCAGCCAUGCCUUUUUCUGGAGGUGGCCAUUUUGGGAAAAUCUAGCCCAACCCAUCAGUCAGCACUGAGAAGCCCAAGGGCAAACAACAAUCCAGGUGGGAUCACAGCCCCACCCCUCAGCAAACAGGCUACCUAAAGACCCUCAGGCACACAGCUGCCUCUAAUCCCAUGUAAAGACUAAGCCCCACCUACCAGAGAGAUUAGAAUUGGCUCCACCCACCAGUGGGCAGGCAUCAGCCCCUCCCAUACCUACUACAGACACAAGGGGAGAGACAUCAGAAGUAAGAAAGGCUACAACUCUAUUAUCUGUAAGAAGGUCACCACACCAAAAACCUAUAAAAAUGAAAAGACAGAGAACUAUAACUCAGAUGAGGGAGAAAGGGAAAACCCCAGAAAAACAGCUAAGCAAUGAGGAGAUUCUCAGCUUCCAGGAAAAAGACUUUAGACUGUCGAUGCUGAAGAUGAUGCAAGACAUUGGAAAUAAACUGGAGGCAAAGAUGGAUAACUUACAGGAAACACUGACCAAAGAGAUACAAGAUAUAAAACUUAAACAAGAAGAGAUGCAAAAUACAAUAAUGGAAAUAAAAAAUUCACUCUAACAGCAGAAUACAGGAGGCAGAAGAAUGAAUAAGCGAGGUGGAGGA